AUUUCUGGAUAUUCCAUCCCCGGCAGCUAGCUCACUGCAUCUCUAACAUGGUUGCCCACUGAAGCUAAGCGAGGUUGUGCCCGGUCAGUACCUGUGUAGAAGACCACAUGGGAAAGCUAGGCUGCUGGAAGUG
Molecule: ribosomal RNA, 133 nt
Filed under: Danio rerio (zebrafish)
Lineage: Eukaryota; Metazoa; Chordata; Actinopteri; Cypriniformes; Danionidae
Source: RNAcentral